Molecule: ribosomal RNA, 207 nt
Filed under: uncultured bacterium
Lineage: Bacteria
Description: partial 16S ribosomal RNA
Rfam family: Bacterial small subunit ribosomal RNA
Source: RNAcentral
UGCGCAGGCGGUCUUGUAAGACAGGUGUGAAAUCCCCGGGCUUAACCUGGGAACUGCACUUGUGACUGCAAGGCUGGAGUACGGCAGAGGGGGAUGGAAUUCCGCGUGUAGCAGUGAAAUGCGUAGAUAUGCGGAGGAACACCGAUGGCGAAGGCAAUCCCCUGGGCCUGUACUGACGCUGAGGAGCGAAAGCGUGGGUAGCGAACA